RNAcentral lists this ribosomal RNA (248 nucleotides) under uncultured soil bacterium. Its description in RNAcentral is "partial 16S ribosomal RNA". It matches the Rfam family "Bacterial small subunit ribosomal RNA", at positions 26 to 271 of the family's 1533-position model. The record is from RNAcentral.
AGGAUGAACGCUGGCGGCGUGCUUAACACAUGCAAGUCGAACGAUGAAGGCUGGAGCUUGCUCUGGCUGGAUUAGUGGCGAACGGGUGAGUAACACGUGAGUAACCUGCCCCAGACUCUGGGAUAAGCGCUGGAAACGGCGUCUAAUACCGGAUACGAGCUUCCACCGCAUGGUGAGGAGCUGGAAAGAAUUUCGGUCUGGGAUGGACUCGCGGCCUAUCAGCUUGUUGGUGAGUAAUGGCUCACCAA